Molecule: ribosomal RNA, 468 nt
Filed under: uncultured bacterium
Lineage: Bacteria
Description: partial 16S ribosomal RNA
Rfam family: Bacterial small subunit ribosomal RNA
Source: RNAcentral
GACGAACGCUGGCGGCGUGCUUAACACAUGCAAGUCGAACGGAAAGGCCCUGCUUUUUUGGGGUGCUCGAGUGGCGAACGGGUGGGUAACACGUGAGUAACCUGCCCUUGACUUUGGGAUAACUUCAGGAAACUGAGGCUAAUACCGGAUAGGAGCUCCUGCUGCAUGGUGGGGGUGGGAAAGUUUCGGCUGUUGGGGAUGGACUCGCGGCUUAUCAGCUUGUUGGUGGGGUAGUUGCUUACCAAGGCUUUGACGGGUAGCCGGCCUGAGAGGGUGACCGGGCUCAUUGGGACUGAGAUACGGCGCAGACUCCUACGGGAGGCAGUAGUGGGGAAUAUUGCCCAAUGGGCGGAAGCCUGAUGCAGCAACGCCGCGUGCGGGAUGACGGCCUUUGGGUUGUAAAACGCUUUAGCCUGUGACGAAGCGUGACUGACGGUAAUGGGUAAAGAAGCACCGGCUAACUACGUG